This 443-nucleotide long non-coding RNA is filed under the name Homo sapiens (human). RNAcentral describes it as "non-protein coding lnc-SAMD11-5:2". The record is from RNAcentral. Lineage: Eukaryota; Metazoa; Chordata; Mammalia; Primates; Hominidae.
CCUGUGCCCAGCCCAGCAUCCCGGGGAGCUCCCUCCACAUGCUCAUCUCACGAGGUUCCUGCUGCACUCAGAGUGGAGGAUGGGAGGCCUGGGGCGGAGGGCCGGGGCUUUGGAAUGGCUGAGGGGGACAAGGAUGCACAAGGGGCCAGUGCAGAGGACAGCGCGACUCCCAGGGGCCCGGGGUCCUGGUCUUCCUGGUCCUGCCGUUUUUAUUAGAAGCGAGCCCUCCACCCCAGUGGGUGUAGAGCCCAGGACGCAGCAGAGGGUGGGGGGGCCGAACGCGGCCGCCUCCUCCUCCGAACGUGGCCGCCUCCGAACGUGGCCGCCGCCUCCUCCGAACGUGGCCGCUUCCGCAGCGCCCGGCGCAGGCCGCACUCCGCCACCAGGGGGCGCCACAGCUCCUCGCGCCGCCGCCUCCCGCAAACACAAAGAGCCGCGCGGCC